RNAcentral lists this ribosomal RNA (500 nucleotides) under uncultured bacterium. RNAcentral describes it as "partial 16S ribosomal RNA". It matches the Rfam family "Bacterial small subunit ribosomal RNA", at positions 30 to 523 of the family's 1533-position model. The record is from RNAcentral.
AUUGAACGCUGGCGGCAGGCCUAACACAUGCAAGUCGAGCGGAUGAGAGGAGCUUGCUCUUCGAUUCAGCGGCGGACGGGUGAGUAAUGCCUAGGAAUCUGCCUAGUAGUGGGGGACAACGUUUCGAAAGGAACGCUAAUACCGCAUACGUCCUACGGGAGAAAGUGGGGGAUCUUCGGACCUCACGCUAUUAGAUGAGCCUAGGUCGGAUUAGCUAGUUGGUAGGGUAACGGCCUACCAAGGCGACAAUCCGUAACUGGUCUGAGAGGAUGAUCAGUCACACUGGAACUGAGACACGGUCCAGACUCCUACGGGAGGAAGCAGUGGGGAAUAUUAGACAAUGGGCGAAAGCCUGAUCCAGCCAUGCCGCGUGUGUGAAGAAGGCCCUCGGGUCGUAAAGCACUUUAAGUUGGGAGGAAGGGCUUACAGCGAAUACCUGUGAGUUUUGACGUUACCGACAGAAUAAGCACCGGCUAACUUCGUGCCAGCAGCCGCCGUAA